RNAcentral lists this unclassified non-coding RNA (158 nucleotides) under soil metagenome. Its description in RNAcentral is "partial internal transcribed spacer 1". The record is from RNAcentral.
CAAGUGACCCCGGUCUAACCACCGGGAUGUUUCAUAACCCUUUGUUGUCCGACUCUGUUGCCUCCGGGGCGACCCUGCCUUCGGGGCGGGGGCUCCGGGUGGACACUUCAAACUCUUGCGUAACUUUGCAGUCUGAGUAAACUUAAUUAAUAAAUUAA